Long non-coding RNA from Micropterus salmoides (largemouth bass), 473 nucleotides. RefSeq lists it as uncharacterized. The record is from RefSeq and is a predicted model, not a curated record. NCBI's taxonomy places the organism in Eukaryota, Metazoa, Chordata, Actinopteri, Centrarchiformes, Centrarchidae. The transcript is spliced from 3 exons.
GACCACAUCCUGACAACACACAGAAACACACACAUACACACACACAGUCAGAGUCAGUCAGUCGGAGCCGAUGUUUCAGAUCGUCAGAUUCAUAUGAAGACGCCCUCCGGAUAUCACACACAUGACCAUGCACAUGCACACACACGGCCUCAGUGUUAACAGGUGUGUGCGUGCGUGACAUCAUGUCUGACUUGUGGCCAUUUUCCUCGUCCUCUCCUUCCAUUGUCCAUCACUCCUCUCUGUCCCAGGCGUCGCCUUUCAUCGCUUCACCUUCUCCGCUCGCCUCCCCCUCGUCACCCAGGAACAAUGGAAACCCUCACGCUAAGGUACCCUCCUAUCACCUCAUACCUCAGACCCAAGCACCUAAUCACCACCCACAUCGCCAGGUAACCUCCCCAACCUUCCCUCAUCCCCACGUGACUUCCCCUCAUCUUGAACCCCAGACCCAGGUAUCCUCGCCUCACCUCCAUCAG